CGCCUCUUGCUUCAGUGAAUAAGAGGUCACGCCUGCCCUGUGACUAUAUGUUUAACGGCCGCGGUAUUUUGACCGUGCAAAGGUAGCGCAAUCACUUGUCCUUUAAAUGUGGACCUGUAUGAAUGGCAUAACGAGGGCUUAGCUGUCUCCUUUCUCAAGUCAAUGAACUUGAUCUCCCCGUGCAGAAGCGGGGAUAAAACCAUAAGACGAGAAGACCCUAUGGAGCUUUAGACAAAAAACAGCCCCUGUCAAUAAACCCUAAAUAAAGGAAAUAAACCUAGUGACCCUGUUUUAAUGUCUUUGGUUGGGGCGACCGCGGGGUAACAAAAAACCCCCAUGUGGAAUGAAAACACCCUUUUUAAAACCAAGAGUCACCACUCUAAGUUACAGAACAUCUGACCAAUAAUGAUCCGGCUAAAGCCGAUUAACGAACCGAGUUACCCUAGGGAUAACAGCGCAAUCCUCUUUUAGAGUCCAUAUCGACAAGAGGGUUUACGACCUCGAUGUUGGAUCAGGACAUCCCAAUGGUGCAGCCGCUAUUAAAGGUUCGUUUGUUCAACGAUUAAAGUCCU
Molecule: ribosomal RNA, 572 nt
Filed under: Takifugu pardalis (panther puffer)
Lineage: Eukaryota; Metazoa; Chordata; Actinopteri; Tetraodontiformes; Tetraodontidae
Description: partial 16S ribosomal RNA
Rfam family: Bacterial large subunit ribosomal RNA
Source: RNAcentral